RNAcentral lists this ribosomal RNA (342 nucleotides) under uncultured Desulfomicrobium sp. RNAcentral describes it as "bacterial SSU rRNA". It matches the Rfam family "Bacterial small subunit ribosomal RNA", at positions 1041 to 1382 of the family's 1533-position model. The record is from RNAcentral. Lineage: Bacteria; Pseudomonadati; Thermodesulfobacteriota; Desulfovibrionia; Desulfovibrionales; Desulfomicrobiaceae.
CUGCAUGGCGUGUCGUCAGCUCGUGCCGUGAGGUGUUGGGUUAAGUCCGCAAUGAGCGCAACCCCUAUUCUCAGUUGCCAGCACAUAAUGGUGGGCACUCUGUGGAGACUGCCCGGGUUAACCGGGAGGAAGGUGGGGAUGACGUCAAGUCAUCAUGGCCCUUACGCCUAGGGCUACACACGUACUACAAUGGUGGGUACAAAGGGCAGCGAAACCGCGAGGUCGAGCGAAUCUCAAAAAACCCAUCAUAGUCCGGAUUGCAGUCUGCAACUCGACUGCAUGAAGUUGGAAUCGCUAGUAAUCCCGGAUCAGCAUGCCGGGGUGAAUACGUUCCCGGGCCUU